UACGGAGGGUGCAAGCGUUAUCCGGAUUCACUGGGUUUAAAGGGUGCGUAGGUGGAUUAGUAAGUCAGUGGUGAAAUCUCCGGGCUUAACCCGGAAACUGCCAUUGAUACUAUUAGUCUUGAAUACCGUGGAGGUCAGCGGAAUAUGUCAUGUAGCGGUGAAAUGCGUAGAUAUCUGGAGGAAUACCGGUGGCGAAGGCGGCAUCCUGGACCGACAUUGACGCUGAAAACCGAAAGCUAGGGGAGCAAACGGG
RNAcentral lists this ribosomal RNA (253 nucleotides) under uncultured bacterium. RNAcentral describes it as "partial 16S ribosomal RNA". It matches the Rfam family "Bacterial small subunit ribosomal RNA", at positions 524 to 776 of the family's 1533-position model. The record is from RNAcentral.